This 122-nucleotide ribosomal RNA is filed under the name uncultured bacterium. Its description in RNAcentral is "partial 16S ribosomal RNA". It matches the Rfam family "Bacterial small subunit ribosomal RNA", at positions 1380 to 1501 of the family's 1533-position model. The record is from RNAcentral.
CUUGUACACACCGCCCGUCACACCAUGGGAGUGGGUUCCACCAGAAGUAGUUAGCCUAACCGCAAGGGGGGCGACUACCACGGUGAGAUUCAUGACUGGGGUGAAGUCGUAACAAGGUACCC